Molecule: transfer RNA, 69 nt
Filed under: Capra hircus (goat)
Lineage: Eukaryota; Metazoa; Chordata; Mammalia; Artiodactyla; Bovidae
Also listed under: 1 other name
Rfam family: tRNA
About the family: Transfer RNA (tRNA) molecules are approximately 80 nucleotides in length. Their secondary structure includes four short double-helical elements and three loops (D, anti-codon, and T loops).
Source: Rfam by way of RNAcentral
CCUGGUGGCUCAGAGAGUAAAGCGUCUGCCUGCAGUGCAGGAGACCCAGGUUCAGUCCCUGGGUCAGGA